AUCCUGUCAGGGUCACAUCUGGAGAGUGUCCAACGCUCUACCAGUCUCCACUAUGAUAGGUAGAGUCAAGCAGAGGCAUAGCCAUUCCAUUCCUAGCUUGGGCAGUGGCUAGUGAGUGGAAGGUGAUCUGCUACAAGU
This is a small nucleolar RNA of Tachyglossus aculeatus (Australian echidna), 138 nucleotides long. Lineage: Eukaryota; Metazoa; Chordata; Mammalia; Monotremata; Tachyglossidae. The record is from RefSeq and is a predicted model, not a curated record.